UUCGCAAUGCCCGAAAGGGUGAACGAGCGACGCCGCGUGCGGGAUGAAGGGUUUCGGCUUGUAAACCGCUUUUCUUUGGGAAGAAGGCCUGUCUCGUGAAGAUGGGCUCGACGGUACCAGAGGAAUAAGCCUCGGCUAAGUUCGUGCCAGCAGCCGCGGUAAGACGAACCGUGCGAACGUUGUUCGGAAUCACUGGGCUUAAAGGGCGCGUAGGCGGGCCGCAAAGUCAGGGGUGAAAUCCUCCAGCUCAACUGGAGAACUGCCUUUGAUACUGGCGGCCUGGAGUAAGGUAGGGGCAUGCGGAACUGACGGCGGAGCGGUGAAAUGCGUUGAUAUCGGAAGGAACUCCGGCGGCGAAAGUGAUGCACUGGCUGGUUUCUGACGCUGAGGUGCGAAAGCCAGGGGAGCAAACGGGAUUAGAUACCCCGGUAGUCCUGGCCGUAAACGAUGGGCACUAAGUAGAGGGGUUUU
RNAcentral lists this ribosomal RNA (471 nucleotides) under uncultured bacterium. Its description in RNAcentral is "bacterial SSU rRNA". It matches the Rfam family "Bacterial small subunit ribosomal RNA", at positions 364 to 832 of the family's 1533-position model. The record is from RNAcentral.